Molecule: ribosomal RNA, 949 nt
Filed under: uncultured Pseudomonas sp.
Lineage: Bacteria; Pseudomonadati; Pseudomonadota; Gammaproteobacteria; Pseudomonadales; Pseudomonadaceae
Description: bacterial SSU rRNA
Rfam family: Bacterial small subunit ribosomal RNA
Source: RNAcentral
AGAGUUUGAUCAUGGCUCAGAUUGAACGCUGGCGGCAGGCCUAACACAUGCAAGUCGAGCGGAUGACAGGAGCUUGCUUCUGAAUUCAGCGGCGGACGGGUGAGUAAUGCCUAGGAAUCUGCCUGGUAGUGGGGGACAACGUUUCGAAAGGAACGCUAAUACCGCAUACGUCCUACGGGAGAAAGCAGGGGACCUUCGGGCCUUGCGCUAUCAGAUGAGCCUAGGUCGGAUUAGCUAGUUGGUGAGGUAAUGGCUCACCAAGGCGACGAUCCGUAACUGGUCUGAGAGGAUGAUCAGUCACACUGGAACUGAGACACGGUCCAGACUCCUACGGGAGGCAGCAGUGGGGAAUAUUGGACAAUGGGCGAAAGCCUGAUCCAGCCAUGCCGCGUGUGUGAAGAAGGUCUUCGGAUUGUAAAGCACUUUAAGUUGGGAGGAAGGGCAUUAACCUAAUACGUUAGUGUUUUGACGUUACCGACAGAAUAAGCACCGGCUAACUCUGUGCCAGCAGCCGCGGUAAUACAGAGGGUGCAAGCGUUAAUCGGAAUUACUGGGCGUAAAGCGCGCGUAGGUGGUUUGUUAAGUUGGAUGUGAAAGCCCCGGGCUCAACCUGGGAACUGCAUUCAAAACUGACAAGCUAGAGUAUGGUAGAGGGUGGUGGAAUUUCCUGUGUAGCGGUGAAAUGCGUAGAUAUAGGAAGGAACACCAGUGGCGAAGGCGACCACCUGGACUGAUACUGACACUGAGGUGCGAAAGCGUGGGGAGCAAACAGGAUUAGAUACCCUGGUAGUCCACGCCGUAAACGAUGUCAACUAGCCGUUGGGAGCCUUGAGCUCUUAGUGGCGCAGCUAACGCAUUAAGUUGACCGCCUGGGGAGUACGGCCGCAAGGUUAAAACUCAAAUGAAUUGACGGGGGCCCGCACAAGCGGUGGAGCAUGUGUUUAAUUCG